AAUCAACGCUGGCGGCGUGCCUAACACAUGCAAGUCGAACGCGAAAGCCCCUUCGGGGGUAAGUAGAGUGGCGUCCGGGUGAGUAACACGUAGGUAAUCUACCUUCGGGUGGGGAAUAACUCGCCGAAAGGCGAGCUAAUACCGCAUAAUGCAGCGGCACCUAAUGGUGAUUAGUUGUUAAAGCGGGGGAUCGUAAGACCUCGCGCCUGAAGAGGAGCCUGCGGCAGAUUAGCUAGUUGGGAGGUAAUGGCUCACCAAGGCUUCGAUCUGUAGCUGGUCUGAGAGGACGGCCAGCCACACUGGCACUGACACACGGGCCAGACUCCUACGGGAGGCAGCAGUGGGAAUUUUGGGCAAUGGGCGCAAGCCUGACCCAGCAACGCCG
Molecule: ribosomal RNA, 385 nt
Filed under: uncultured bacterium
Lineage: Bacteria
Description: bacterial SSU rRNA
Rfam family: Bacterial small subunit ribosomal RNA
Source: RNAcentral